RNAcentral lists this ribosomal RNA (301 nucleotides) under uncultured bacterium. Its description in RNAcentral is "partial 16S ribosomal RNA". It matches the Rfam family "Bacterial small subunit ribosomal RNA", at positions 509 to 808 of the family's 1533-position model. The record is from RNAcentral.
CAGUAGCCACGGUAAUACGGGGGGGGCAAGUGUUAUUCGGAAUGACUGGGCGUAAAGGGCACGUAGGCGGUGAAAAGGGUGGAAAGUGAAAGUCGCCAAAACACUGGCGGGGUGCUUUCUUGACCAUUUCACUUGAGUGAGAUAGGGGAGAGUGGAAUUUCGUGUGGAGGGAUCAAAUCCUAAGAUAUACGAAGGAACGCCAACCGCGAAGGCAGCUCUCUGGGUCCCCACUGACGCUGGGGUGCGAAAGCAUGGGGAGCAAACAGGAUCAGAUACCCGGGUAGUCCCUGUCUCUUAUACA